GGCGAACGGNNGANUAAUGCACCGGAACGUACCCAGUAAUGUCCCNAUAACACAUCGAAAGAUGUGCUAAUACCGCAUACGCCCUGAGGGGGAAAGCGGGGGAUCGUAAGACCUCGCGUUAUUGGAGCGGCCGAUGCCGGAUUAGCUAGUUGGUGGGGUAAAGGCCCACCAAGGCGACGAUCCGUAGCUGGUCUGAGAGGACGACCAGCCACACUGGGACUGAGACACGGCCCAGACUCCUACGGGAGGCAGCAGUGGGGAAUUUUGGACAAUGGGGGCAACCCUGAUCCAGCCAUGCCGCGUGAGUGAAGAAGGCCUUCGGGUUGUAAAGCUCUUUCGCAAGGAAAGAAAACCUAUCCGCUAAUACCGGGUGGGGAUGACGGUACCUUGAUAAGAAGCACCGGCUAACUACGUGCCAGCAGCCGCGGUAAUACGUAGGGUGCGAGCGUUAUUCGGAAUUACUGGGCGUAAAGCGUGCGCAGGCGGUUCGACAAGUCUGAUGUGAAAUCCCCGGGCUCAACCUGGGAACUGCGUUGGAAACUGUCGGGCUAGAGUGUAAAAGANGGGGGUAGANUUCACGUGUANCAGUGAAAUGCGUAAAGAUGUGAAGAAUACCGAUGGNCAAAGCAGCCCCUGGGCUANACUGACGCUCUGCCC
Molecule: ribosomal RNA, 657 nt
Filed under: uncultured Methylobacillus sp.
Lineage: Bacteria; Pseudomonadati; Pseudomonadota; Betaproteobacteria; Nitrosomonadales; Methylophilaceae
Description: bacterial SSU rRNA
Rfam family: Bacterial small subunit ribosomal RNA
Source: RNAcentral